AUUGAACGCUGGCGGCAUGCCUUACACAUGCAAGUCGAACGGUAACAGGUCUUCGGAUGCUGACGAGUGGCGAACGGGUGAGUAAUACAUCGGAACGUGCCUAGUAGUGGGGGAUAACUACUCGAAAGAGUGGCUAAUACCGCAUGAGAUCUACGGAUGAAAGCAGGGGAUCGCAAGACCUUGUGCUACUAGAGCGGCCGAUGGCAGAUUAGGUAGUUGGUGGGAUAAAAGCUUACCAAGCCGACGAUCUGUAGCUGGUCUGAGAGGACGAUCAGCCACACUGGGACUGAGACACGGCCCAGACUCCUACGGGAGGCAGCAGUGGGAAUUUUGGACAAUGGGCGAAAGCCUGAUCCAGCAAUGCCGCGUGCAGGAUGAAGGCCUUCGGGUUGUAAACUGCUUUUGUACGGAACGAAACGGUGAGCUCUAAUACAGUUUGCUAAUGACGGUACCGUAAGAAUAAGCACCGGCUAACUACGUGCCAGCCGCCGCCGUAA
RNAcentral lists this ribosomal RNA (497 nucleotides) under uncultured bacterium. RNAcentral's name for it is "partial 16S ribosomal RNA". It matches the Rfam family "Bacterial small subunit ribosomal RNA", at positions 30 to 523 of the family's 1533-position model. The record is from RNAcentral.